GGAGAGGACUCUUUGCCUCAGACCCGGACAAUCGACACUCCCGCCCGCCAUACAAACUAUUGGGACUUCCCAGGCUGAUUGUGGUGUGCAUGUUGCCCCACCCACGGCUGCCAUUGGCUAAAGGAGAGCCUUGCUGACCAAACAAAGCUGAAGGGUGUGGCCCCUCGCUGUCCUGGAGAGGGGUAUAUAUAGGCAGGUCAGCCUGCCUGGGGUAGACAGACCACUGGGAGGCACUGACAUGCCGAAGGCGACCGGGAAAUCCCAAGCUUCUAGCACAGUCGCGGAACAAACCGUCGCCAAAGAACAAAGAGAGGAAGAUGAGGAAGUCCUCAAGUCAACCCAGGUCCGGAGGCAGUGUCAAGGCGGCCAAGAAAACCACGGGGGCCGAAAGACCCCUUCGAAGGAGAUCCACUAAAAAAGCCUCUAGAAAACGUCCCACCUCUUCAGUCAAAUCUAAGGAAGCGAGAGGAACAACCCUAUUCGGUCACUAUCACAGGCUGAAUGAAGAGCUGAAUCAAGAUGAGCCAGAGGAGGACGGAGAGAGCAUGGAGAAGCCCAGCACUUCACGUGCCUACCUGCACCGCCGGUAACUUCAGAGCGAGGCCACAGACCUCAGAGAGGAAUCAUCUGAGAAGUCUCUGAGAUCUGGCCCCUGAGAAAUGGGCAACGGUGUUGACGUCAUUUGACAGCAGCAGGGUGCCCUGAUGGUGAUUUAAAUAAAACGGACCUGUUGUGAAAA
Molecule: long non-coding RNA, 739 nt
Filed under: Equus asinus (donkey)
Lineage: Eukaryota; Metazoa; Chordata; Mammalia; Perissodactyla; Equidae
Description: lncRNA (ENSEASG00005029143.1)
Source: RNAcentral